This 258-nucleotide ribosomal RNA is filed under the name uncultured prokaryote. RNAcentral's name for it is "partial 16S ribosomal RNA". It matches the Rfam family "Bacterial small subunit ribosomal RNA", at positions 524 to 780 of the family's 1533-position model. The record is from RNAcentral.
UACGGAGGAUGCAAGCGUUAUCCGGAUUCAUUGGGUUUAAAGGGUGCGUAGGCGGGCUAUUAAGUCAGUGGUGAAAUCCUGCAGCUUAACUGCAGAACUGCCGUUGAUACUGAUAGUCUUGAGUUUGGUUAAGGUAGGCGGAAUGUGUAAUGUAGCGGUGAAAUGCUUAGAUAUUACACAGAACACCAAUUGCGUAGGCAGCACACUAAGUCAUUAUUGACGCUGAGGCACGAAAGUGUGGGGAGUCAAACAGGAUUA